AAAAUUAUAGUAUAAGUUAGUAUGCUCUGUUGUCGAUAGGGAGGUUUGUAAUUUUG
RNAcentral lists this transfer RNA (56 nucleotides) under Toxocara cati (cat roundworm). RNAcentral describes it as "transfer RNA-Asp". Lineage: Eukaryota; Metazoa; Nematoda; Chromadorea; Rhabditida; Toxocaridae. The record is from RNAcentral.